RNAcentral lists this ribosomal RNA (247 nucleotides) under uncultured bacterium. RNAcentral's name for it is "partial 16S ribosomal RNA". It matches the Rfam family "Bacterial small subunit ribosomal RNA", at positions 523 to 769 of the family's 1533-position model. The record is from RNAcentral.
AUACGUAGGUGGCGAGCGUUGUCCGGAAUUACUGGGUGUAAAGGGAGUGUAGGCGGGACUGCAAGUCAGAUGUGAAAUUUAUGGGCUCAACUCAUAACCUGCAUUUGAAACUGUAGUUCUUGAGUGAAGUAGAGGCAAGCGGAAUUCCUAGUGUAGCGGUGAAAUGCGUAGAUAUUAGGAGGAACACCAGUUGCGAAGGCGGCUCUCUGGACUGUAACUGACACUGAGGCACGAAAGCGUGGGGAGC